This 500-nucleotide ribosomal RNA is filed under the name uncultured marine picoplankton. RNAcentral's name for it is "SSU rRNA". It matches the Rfam family "Eukaryotic small subunit ribosomal RNA", at positions 595 to 1120 of the family's 1831-position model. The record is from RNAcentral.
UAGCGUAUAUUAAAGUUGUUGCAGUUAAAAAGCUCGUAGUUGAACUUCUGGUCAAGCGUGACCUUGGCUUCGGUCGAGGCAGGCAUGGCCAUCCGUCAGAAAACCAGGGAGGGUCUUAAGUGAUCGCUCUGGGGAUCUGACACUUUACUUUGAAAAAACUAGAGUGUUCAUGGCAGGCUAACGCCCUGAAUACACAAGCAUGGAAUAAUAGAAUAGGACUGGGUCCAUUUUGUUGGUUAUUGGACGCAGUGAUGAUUAAUAGGGACAGUUGGGGGCAUUAGUAUUUAAUUGUCAGAGGUGAAAUUCUUGGAUUUAUUAAAGACUGACUUAUGCGAAAGCAUUUGCCAAGGAUGUUUUCAUUGAUCAAGAACGAAAGUUAGGGGAUCAAAGACGAUCAGAUACCGUCCUAGUCUUAACUAUAAACUAUGCCGACUAGGGAUUGGCCGGGUUGCAGCUCGGUCAGCACCUCGAGAGAAAUCAAAGUCUUUGGGUUCUGGGGU